UCGGGAAUAUUGCACAAUGGAGGAAACUCUGAUGCAGUGACGCCGCGUGCAGGAAGAAGGUUUUCGGAUUGUAAACUGCUUUAGACAGGGAAGAAAAAUGACAGUACCUGUAGAAUAAGCUCCGGCUAACUACGUGCCAGCAGCCGCGGUAAUACGUAGGGAGCAAGCGUUAUCCGGAUUUAUUGGGGUUGUAAAGGGUGCGUAGACGGGUAAGCAAGUUAGUUGUGAAAUCCCUCGGCUUAACUGAGGAACUGCAACUAAAACCUACUUAUCUUGAGUGCAGGAGAGGAAAGUGGAAUUCCUAGUGUAGCGGUGAAAUGCGUAGAUAUUAGGAGGAACACCAGUGGCGAAGGUGACUUUCUGGACUGUAACUGACGUUGAGGCACGAAAUGUGUGGGGUAGCAAACAGGAUUAGAUACC
Molecule: ribosomal RNA, 420 nt
Filed under: uncultured bacterium
Lineage: Bacteria
Description: bacterial SSU rRNA
Rfam family: Bacterial small subunit ribosomal RNA
Source: RNAcentral